RNAcentral lists this ribosomal RNA (518 nucleotides) under uncultured Staphylococcus sp. RNAcentral's name for it is "partial 16S ribosomal RNA". Lineage: Bacteria; Bacillati; Bacillota; Bacilli; Caryophanales; Staphylococcaceae. The record is from RNAcentral.
CACGUAGUUAGCCGUGGCUUUCUGAUUAGGUACCGUCAAGAUGUGCACAGUUACUUACACAUUUGUUCUUCCCUAAUAACAGAGUUUUACGAGCCGAAACCCUUCAUCACUCACGCGGCGUUGCUCCGUCAGGCUUUCGCCCAUUGCGGAAGAUUCCCUACUGCUGCUUCCCGUAGGAGUCUGGACCGUGUCUCAGUUCCAGUGUGGCCGAUCACCCUCUCAGGUCGGCUACGUAUCGUCGCCUUGGUAAGCCGUUACCUUACCAACUAGCUAAUACGGCGCGGGUCCAUCUAUAAGUGAUAGCAAAACCAUCUUUCACUUUAGAACCAUGCGGUUCUAAAUGUUAUCCGGUAUUAGCUCCGGUUUCCCGAAGUUAUCCCAGUCUUAUAGGUAGGUUACCCACGUGUUACUCACCCGUCCGCCGCUAACUUCAAAGGAGCAAGCUCCUUAUCUGUUCGCUCGACUUGCAUGUAUUAGGCACGCCGCCAGCGUUCAUCCUGAGCCAGGAUCAAACUCUA